This 468-nucleotide ribosomal RNA is filed under the name uncultured bacterium. RNAcentral's name for it is "partial 16S ribosomal RNA". It matches the Rfam family "Bacterial small subunit ribosomal RNA", at positions 28 to 507 of the family's 1533-position model. The record is from RNAcentral.
GACGAACGCUGGCGGCGUGCUUAACACAUGCAAGUCGAACGGAAAGACCCUGCUUUUGUGGGGUUCUCGAUUGCCGAACGCGUGAGUAUCACGUGAGUAACCCGCCCUUGUCUUUGGGGUAACUUCAGGAAACGGGGGCUAAUACCGGAUAGAAUCUCCUGCACCAUUGUGGGCGUUGGAAAGUUUCGGCUGUUGGGGAUGGACUCGCGGCUUAUCAGCUUGUUGGUGGGGUAGUGGCUUACCAAGCCUGUGACGGGUAGCCGGCAUGAGAGGGUGGCCGGCGACAUGAGGACUGAGGUAAGGACCAGACUGCUACGGGAGGCAGUAGUGGGGAACAUUGCACAGUGGGCCGAAGUCUGAUGCGGCAACGUCGCGUGCGGGAUGACGGCUUUUGGGUUGUAAACCGCUUUCGCCUGUGACGCAGCGUGAGUGACGGUAAUGGGUAAAGAAGCACCGGCUAACUACGUG